UGAUUGUGACGUGCUUGCACUGAAUGAGAUUUUAACACGAAGUGAGUGGCGGACGGGUGAGUAACACGUGGGUAACCUGCCCAGAAGCAGGGGAUAACACCUGGAAACAGAUGCUAAUACCGUAUAACAGAGAAAACCGCCUGGUUUUCUUUUAAAAGAUGGCUCUGCUAUCACUUCUGGAUGGACCCGCGGCGCAUUAGCUAGUUGGUGAGGUAACGGCUCACCAAGGCGAUGAUGCGUAGCCGACCUGAGAGGGUAAUCGGCCACAUUGGGACUGAGACACCGCCCAGACUCCUACGGGAGGCAGCAGUAGGGAAUCUUCCACAAUGGACGCAAGUCUGAUGGAGCAACGCCGCGUGAGUGAAGAAGGGUUUCGGCUCGUAAAGCUCUGUUGUUAAAGAAGAACGUGGGUGAGAGUAACUGUUCACCCAGUGACGGUAUUUAACCAGAAAGCCACGGCUAACUACGUGCCAGCAGCCGCGGUAAUACGUAGGUGGCAAGCGUUAUCCGGAUUUAUUGGGCGUAAAGCGAGCGCAGGCGGUCUUUUAAGUCUAAUGUGAAAGCCUUCGGCUCCACCGAAGAAGUGCAUUGGAAACUGGGAGACUUGAGUGCAGAAGAGGACAGUGGAACUCCCUGUGUGGCGGUGAAUG
This 650-nucleotide ribosomal RNA is filed under the name Pediococcus sp. Its description in RNAcentral is "bacterial SSU rRNA". It matches the Rfam family "Bacterial small subunit ribosomal RNA", at positions 45 to 688 of the family's 1533-position model. Lineage: Bacteria; Bacillati; Bacillota; Bacilli; Lactobacillales; Lactobacillaceae. The record is from RNAcentral.